RNAcentral lists this ribosomal RNA (253 nucleotides) under uncultured bacterium. Its description in RNAcentral is "partial 16S ribosomal RNA". It matches the Rfam family "Bacterial small subunit ribosomal RNA", at positions 524 to 776 of the family's 1533-position model. The record is from RNAcentral.
UACGGGGGGGGCAAGCGUUGUUCGGAAUUACUGGGCGUAAAGGGCGCGUAGGCGGCCAUCUAAGUCAGACGUGAAAUCCCUCGGCUCAACCGAGGAACUGCGUCUGAUACUGGAAGGCUUGAAUCCGGGAGAGGGAUGUGGAAUUCCAGGUGUAGCGGUGAAAUGCGUAGAUAUCUGGAGGAACACCGGUGGCGGAGGCGGCAUCCUGGACCGGUAUUGACGCUGAGGCGCGAAAGCUAGGGGAGCAAACGGG